This 301-nucleotide long non-coding RNA is filed under the name Homo sapiens (human). RNAcentral's name for it is "non-protein coding lnc-ARHGEF1-4:1". The record is from RNAcentral. Lineage: Eukaryota; Metazoa; Chordata; Mammalia; Primates; Hominidae.
CUGAGGGGCUCCCUGUGGCAAAGCCUAGGAGAGUUGCUGGGGAACAGUCUCCCCUGGCCGGGGUCUCUGCCCGCCACCCCCUCCCAGGCUCCCCCCCCACCCGGCGGGCUGCCCGGCGGAGGCGACAGAUUGAGCGAUGAGACGCAUUACGCACUUAAUCCGCCUGAUUGAAUGUUUUGCUUUCGCCCAAAUUGAAACAUUAAACAACCCAAGUCGGUCACCCACAAAUGGACUGCCUCCCCGAACACCCCCAGGAGAGGCCCCGCCUUGGGGGGUAGCACUGGGGUUGGCUCCCCCAGCC